GAUGAACGCUGGCGGCGUGCUUAACACAUGCAAGUCGAACGGAAAGGCCCUGCUUUUGUGGGGUGCUCGAGUGGCGAACGGGUGAGUAACACGUGAGUAACCUGCCCUUGACUUUGGGAUAACUUCAGGAAACUGGGGCUAAUACCGGAUAGGAUAUCCUGCUCCAUGGUGGGGGUUGGAAAGUUUCGGCGGUUGGGGAUGGACUCGCGGCUUAUCAGCUUGUUGGUGGGGUAGUGGCUUACCAAGGCUUUGACGGGUAGCCGGCCUGAGAGGGUGACCGGCGACCUUGGGACUGAGAUACGGCCCAGACUGCUACGGGAGGCAGCAGGGGGAAAUAUUGCACAAUGGGCGGAAGCCUGAUGCAGAAACGCCGCGUGCGGGAUGACGGCCUUCGGGGGAUAAACCGCUUUCGCCUGUGACGAAGCGUGAGUGACGGUAAUGGGUAAAAAAGCACCGGCUAACUACGUG
RNAcentral lists this ribosomal RNA (468 nucleotides) under uncultured bacterium. Its description in RNAcentral is "partial 16S ribosomal RNA". It matches the Rfam family "Bacterial small subunit ribosomal RNA", at positions 28 to 507 of the family's 1533-position model. The record is from RNAcentral.